UAAAAAUAAUGCAUUGUAUGCCGGAAGGGAUAAAUCUGGGGCUGAGUACAAGCAAAACAAGACCAAAGGAAGCUACCUGAGCAGGUAUUCCAGAUACUCAUGUCAUACACCAAGGUUGUACCAGUGCCCCUUUCUCUGUGACACAUCCAUCCACUGGAAACUUUCGUACAACUAGCUGAAAGAAGAGAAACAUCCUAUUUCAUGUCACUGGAGCCCUAAUGAUCGCAGCCAUUUCAGGAAAUGCCAUCAAUUACAGUGAGGAGCUCAUUCAGAAGUGAAAGAUGAGUUCCAUUCUCUGUUACUUAGAGGUUAUUUUCCACACUAACUUGAUUUUUGGACCAUCUCCCUGCUAAACACUUCACAUUUCAGUUCCUCUCUGAGCCUUUAGCGGAGAUUAAAGUAGCAGUUAAAGCUGGCUAUGCCCAACAGUCAAGGCAAAUUUUGUUUACAAGAUGCUUCCUGUUACAGUGUUUGUAUUAUCUAAAAAACAGGCAAUAAAAUCUAUGAACUGGAAACCUUCUCUUGUUGUAAACGACUGUUUUAAUCAGUAUCUUCUGCUGAAUAAUCUUUCAAGGGCAGUCCA
This 583-nucleotide long non-coding RNA is filed under the name Homo sapiens (human). RNAcentral describes it as "HSALNT0328691". Lineage: Eukaryota; Metazoa; Chordata; Mammalia; Primates; Hominidae. The record is from RNAcentral.